UACGUAGGGCGCAAGCGUUAUCCGGAAUUAUUGGGCGUAAAGAGCUCGUAGGCGGUUUAGAAAGUCGGGUGUGAAACCUCCAGGCUCAACCUGGAGCCGCCACUCGAUACUUCUAUGACUUGAGUUCGGUAGGGGAUCACGGAAUUCCUGGUGUAGCGGUGAAAUGCGCAGAUAUCAGGAGGAACACCGAUGGCGAAGGCAGUGAUCUGGGCCGAUACUGACGCUGAGGAGCGAAAGCGUGGGGAGCGAACAGG
This 254-nucleotide ribosomal RNA is filed under the name uncultured bacterium. RNAcentral's name for it is "partial 16S ribosomal RNA". It matches the Rfam family "Bacterial small subunit ribosomal RNA", at positions 524 to 776 of the family's 1533-position model. The record is from RNAcentral.